RNAcentral lists this transfer RNA (72 nucleotides) under Trichonephila inaurata madagascariensis. It matches the Rfam family "tRNA". From Rfam's summary of the family: Transfer RNA (tRNA) molecules are approximately 80 nucleotides in length. The record is from Rfam by way of RNAcentral. Lineage: Eukaryota; Metazoa; Arthropoda; Arachnida; Araneae; Nephilidae.
AUCUCUGUAGCGCAAUGAUAGCGCGUCGGGCUUCUAAUCCGAAGGUCGUGUUUUUAAAUCCCACCUGGGAUG